This 446-nucleotide ribosomal RNA is filed under the name uncultured bacterium. RNAcentral describes it as "bacterial SSU rRNA". It matches the Rfam family "Bacterial small subunit ribosomal RNA", at positions 29 to 524 of the family's 1533-position model. The record is from RNAcentral.
AGCGAACGCUGGCGGCAGGCCUAACACAUGCAAGUCGAACGGAUCCUUCGGGAUUAGUGGCGGACGGGUGAGUAACACGUGGAACGUGCCUUUUGGUUCGGAACAACUCAGGGAAACUUGAGCUAAUACCGAAUGUGCCCUUCGGGGAAAGAUUAUCGCCAUUAGAGCGGCCCGCGUCUGAUUAGCUAGUUGGUGAGGUAAAGGCUCACCAAGGCUACGAUCAGUAGCUGGUCUGAGAGGAUGAUCAGCCACAUUGGGACUGAGACACGGCCCAAACUCCUACGGGAGGCAGCAGUGGGGAAUCUUGCGCAAUGGGCGAAAGCCUGACGCAGCCAUGCCGCGUGAAUGAUGAAGGUCUUAGGAUUGUAAAAUUCUUUCACCGGGACGAUAAUGACGGUACCCGGAGAAGAAGCCCCGGCUAACUUCGUGCCAGCAGCCGCGGUAAU